GUGUCAGCAGCCGCGGUAAAACGUAGGAGGCGAGCGUUAUCCGGAUUUACUGGGUGUAAAGCGCGUGCAGGCGGAUCGGAAAGUUGGAUGUGAAAGCUCCCGGCUUAACUGGGAGAGGUCGUUCAAAACUACCGGUCUUGAGUACAGUAGAGGGAAGUGGAAUUCCGGGUGUAGUGGUGAAAAGAGUGAAUAUCCGGAGAAACACGAGUGGCGAAAGCGGCUUUCUGGA
Molecule: ribosomal RNA, 229 nt
Filed under: uncultured bacterium
Lineage: Bacteria
Description: partial 16S rRNA
Rfam family: Bacterial small subunit ribosomal RNA
Source: RNAcentral